AACGAACGCUGGCGGCAUGCCUAACACAUGCAAGUCGAACGAGACCUUCGGGUCUAGUGGCGCACGGGUGCGUAACGCGUGGGAACCUGCCCUUAGGUUCGGAAUAACUCCCCGAAAGGGGUGCUAAUACCGGAUAAUGUCUUCGGACCAAAGAUUUAUCGCCUUUGGAUGGGCCCUCGUUGGAUUAGAUAGUUGGUAGGGUAAAAGCCGACCAAGGCGAGGAUCCAUAGCUGGUCUGAGAGGAUGAUCAGCCACACUGGGACUGAGACACGGCCCAGAAUCCUACGGGAGGCAGCAGUGGGGAAUAGUGGACAAUGGGCGAAAGCCUGAUCCAGCAAUGCCGCGUGAGUGAUGAAGGCCUUAGGGUUGUAAAGCUCUUUUACCCGGGAUGAUAAUGACAGUACCGGGAGAAUAAGCUCCGGCUAACUCCGUG
RNAcentral lists this ribosomal RNA (433 nucleotides) under uncultured bacterium. RNAcentral's name for it is "partial 16S ribosomal RNA". It matches the Rfam family "Bacterial small subunit ribosomal RNA", at positions 29 to 507 of the family's 1533-position model. The record is from RNAcentral.